This 745-nucleotide ribosomal RNA is filed under the name uncultured bacterium. RNAcentral describes it as "bacterial SSU rRNA". It matches the Rfam family "Bacterial small subunit ribosomal RNA", at positions 33 to 773 of the family's 1533-position model. The record is from RNAcentral.
ACGCCGGCGGCAGGCCUAACACAUGCAAGUCGAGCGGUAGAGAGAAGCUUGCUUCUCUUGAGAGCGGCGGACGGGUGAGUAAUGCCUAGGAAUCUGCCUGGUAGUGGGGGAUAACGUUCGGAAACGGACGCUAAUACCGCAUACGUCCUACGGGAGAAAGCAGGGGACCUUCGGGCCUUGCGCUAUCAGAUGAGCCUAGGUCGGAUUAGCUAGUUGGUGGGGUAAUGGCUCACCAAGGCGACGAUCCGUAACUGGUCUGAGAGGAUGAUCAGUCACACUGGAACUGAGACACGGUCCAGACUCCUACGGGAGGCAGCAGUGGGGAAUAUUGGACAAUGGGCGAAAGCCUGAUCCAGCCAUGCCGCGUGUGUGAAGAAGGUCUUCGGAUUGUAAAGCACUUUAAGUUGGGAGGAAGGGCAGUUACCUAAUACGUGAUUGUUUUGACGUUACCGACAGAAUAAGCACCGGCUAACUCUGUGCCAGCAGCCGCGGUAAUACAGAGGGUGCAAGCGUUAAUCGGAAUUACUGGGCGUAAAGCGCGCGUAGGUGGUUCGUUAAGUUGGAUGUGAAAUCCCCGGGCUCAACCUGGGAACUGCAUUCAAAACUGACGAGCUAGAGUAUGGUAGAGGGUGGUGGAAUUUCCUGUGUAGCGGUGAAAUGCGUAGAUAUAGGAAGGAACACCAGUGGCGAAGGCGACCACCUGGACUGAUACUGACACUGAGGUGCGAAAGCGUGGGGAGCAAAC